AUAAAAGGGCUGCCACGCCGGCUAACGGGGCGCCUUCCUGAGCAAACAAGCUGUCUGUGUCUGGUUCCUUCCCGCAUCUGGUGACCCCGACGUGAUUCCAGCCCUCCGUACCCACCGGCCGGCCGAGCCGUGGUGCACCGCAGUGCGUCUUCGCACUCCCUCGUGAGUAUGGGGGGGGAUUUGUCCGUGCAACAGAAGGCUCAUACGACAGAGCUGGUUCAAGUACUCAAGGUAACCGGUCGCACGACAGCAUCACAGCGACAUGUGGAGGAAUUGCUCCAUGUGAUAGAGGUUAAAUGCCCUUGGUACCCCGAGAAAGGAACUCUCGAGGUUUCUGACUGGCAAAAUGUGGGCGAACGGCUCCUAAGGGAGCCUCGAGCGCCCAUCCGACACAUCUUGCUGUGGCAACAUUGUGCAGAGGCAAUCGGGCGUUUGCGAAAGGAGGCGCCCCCGCUUGCCUCUCCCACCCCUACCCCACCUCCCUCAUAUGUCACGGAGGUUGAAACCCCAAGUCCUGCACUCAGGGCGACACCCCCUAGUCUAGCCCCCUCUGAGUCCUUGCUGUCGUCGCCCUCCCCCUUUUGCCCCCUCCGGCUCCGAGCGCAGUACAGGCUGCUUUCGGCCCCAGCUGGCUGUGAAGGAAAAAAUAUAGACAGAGGCGGAGCAAAAGGAAAUACAAGUUACAGAACUGAAAUUACGUUUGCAAAGCUUAACUGUCCAGUAAGACCCAACAGUGUGCCUUUGUGACCCUGGAGUCGGCUGCCACAGGCAGCCGACCUGGACUGGAAUCUCUGAAAGAGACGCCGCAGGAGAUUCCAGGGUGUAAGAGAACAGCCCUCCCAAGAGCAGAAGCAUGUUGGAAAUUCUGGACAAGCUGUAUACAGGAUAAUCUCCCUUCCACCUCUCCCCCUCCUCUGAACAUUAUACACAGAAGUGGCCAGUCGGGACGUACCUGUAUAAUCAGAGAAAACUGAUGCCAGCUGAACAGCAUUCAACGUAUCAUGCAUUUACUGGCACAACAGGAAUUAUGUUUUGUGUUCUAUGUCCUGUCUUGUGGUGUUUGUCUCGUGGCCAAAAUUGUUGUGUUUAAUAUUUUUAUAGGAUAGUCUAGUUAAAAUUAAAUAGAAGGGUUAAAUGCAGAUACUUGUUUUAUUCAACUUUGGAAUACAAGGUGUUUGGAUAAAUCAGGAGAAUGUGAUACACUAAAGUCUAAUGCAUUUGCUUAAGUAAGAAAAAGAAGCUUCAUUGGCCAAAUUGUUAAUUAAAGAAAUUGUUGUUAUAAUUUGCAUGCCAACGGUCUUUGAAAGCAAAGACAUGAAAAGUUAACCCACUCCCCAUAUUGUACAUGGGAUCUUUCUGGCUACCUCAAAUUUCUAGCCAGAGGGCUGGGGAUGGUGGAAGGCUAUUGGACUAGAGGUUGAAUUGAAUGAACUCCUCAAAGUGGGUGUGCUUGUUUUAGCUCGUUGCUCCAAAGUUCUGUAAUAAGGUUAUUUUAGUAAAAGAGUAUGUGUGACAUAUAUUAAAUAAUAAGACUAAUGUACUGUAUAAUGGCAAUGUUUACGUGUUCGUUGUUGGGAAAAGGUGUAUAAGUGAAGAGUGAAAGUUUCCUUUGCAGGUUAAAGGAAGCCAAAAA
Long non-coding RNA from Gopherus flavomarginatus (Mexican gopher tortoise), 1633 nucleotides. RefSeq lists it as uncharacterized. Lineage: Eukaryota; Metazoa; Chordata; Testudines; Testudinidae. The record is from RefSeq and is a predicted model, not a curated record. The transcript is spliced from 2 exons.